UACGUAGGGAGCGAGCGUUGUUCGGAAUUACUGGGCGUAAAGGGAGCGUAGGCGGGUUUGUAAGUUAGGGGUUUAACGCACGGGCUUAACCCGUGUUUGGCCUUUAAUACUGCAAGUCUUGAGUGUGGGAGAGGGCGAUGGAAUUCCAGGUGUAGCGGUGGAAUGCGUAGAUAUCUGGAAGAACACCAACAGCGAAGGCAGUCGCCUGGCCCGAUACUGACGCUGAAGCUCGAAAGUCGGGGGAG
RNAcentral lists this ribosomal RNA (245 nucleotides) under uncultured bacterium. RNAcentral describes it as "partial 16S ribosomal RNA". It matches the Rfam family "Bacterial small subunit ribosomal RNA", at positions 524 to 768 of the family's 1533-position model. The record is from RNAcentral.